Long non-coding RNA from Grammomys surdaster, 1245 nucleotides. RefSeq lists it as uncharacterized. The transcript has 3 exons. NCBI's taxonomy places the organism in Eukaryota, Metazoa, Chordata, Mammalia, Rodentia, Muridae. The record is from RefSeq and is a predicted model, not a curated record.
UGUUUUCAGCUCACUUUUUUCUUUUUUUAAUGUAGUCUUGAUCCUUUCCUAAGCAAUAAUGUCAUGCAGAGUUUAUUUAGCUUCCCACCUCAGCUAAACUAAUUGCUAUAAUCUAAUACUUGCAUGUCCAGUGUGCGAAUAUCAUCUAUUUGACAGCUGAGAUGAACUAUGACAAUGUCCAUGAAAUAUUGAAUACUUUAUUUAUGUCAUUCUAUCCCCCUUCUCCUCAGUCCAACAUAUCCCAUGUUCUCCCUUCAAAUUCACAACCUCUUCUAUGAUAACUAUUAUUGUUACAAAAACACUUGAGUGCCUUUAAUGUUGCUCUUAAGUCUACAUGUUUAGUGCUGCUAUUUUGAAGUCGAGCUAUGAGGGGGUUCACUCCUAGAUAAAACUGAUAUUCCUUCUCUCUCUCUCUCUCUCUCUCUCUCUCUCUCUCUCUCUCAUCAUUGAUUGGCUCUAGCUCUUGACCUAAGGUGGGAGGUCAGCAGAUGCUGACCUGAUGCAGGCCCUGUUUUAGCAACUCUAUUGAGAUUUCAUGGGGUUAUCGUCCCUUUCAUGUCUAGAAGACACUAUCCUGCAGCAUAUGUCCUGUUCCUUCGUCUCUUAUCAUCUUUCCACUCAUCUUCCAAAAUGUUCCCUGAGCAUUUUGACCUGUAGGGGUUAUCUUGUACAUGUACAAGUUUGGAAUCCCACAGUAUGUCCUCUGACGUCCACAUGCAAACUGAGGCACAGUGGUCCCUCCAAAUGGAAUACAUGUGAAGACUUGUAUUUCAUCUUACAAAUCAAAGACAGAUUAUUUUAUGCUGUGCUGGGUUCCUACUGUCUGGAAAUGCAUCAAUUCUGUUACUCAUAUCUCUCCAUGUCUUUCUCUGCUUUAAUGUACCUUCAAGGAAAAGCAGUUCAGCAGCAGCCCAGCCAUCUUGUUCAUUAGGUCUAGUCACAUGUGCUAAGUCCUUGUACUUUUAUCCACACCAAGCAAAGGCGCUGCAUAAGUAGUAAACAGUACCAUGAGCUGACUGUCAAUGUCUGUCCCCCUCAUCUUACCAGACAAUGCCACUGCACCUUCACCAGCUGACGAAGAACCGACAUCAUCAGAGUCCUCACUGAAGUUACAGGUGGAGCAUAAAAGAUUCAAAUGUUUUUCUUCAAUCUUAAAAAGAUUUCAUAAGAAGAGCCCACGUCCUUGGAAGGAACCUCCAGUUCCUCCAAUUACUUUGAAAGAACCAUCACAACCAAGGAAAAAAG